This 320-nucleotide unclassified non-coding RNA is filed under the name plant metagenome. RNAcentral describes it as "partial contains 5.8S ribosomal RNA, internal transcribed spacer 2, and large subunit ribosomal RNA". The stretch from base 1 to 105 matches the Rfam family "5.8S ribosomal RNA", at positions 50 to 154 of the family's 154-position model. The record is from RNAcentral.
GAAAUGCGAUAAGUAAUGUGAAUUGCAGAAUUCAGUGAAUCAUCGAAUCUUUGAACGCACAUUGCGCCCGCCAGUAUUCUGGCGGGCAUGCCUGUUCGAGCGUCAUUACAACCCUCAGGCCCCCGGGCCUGGCGUUGGGGAUCGGCGGAAGCCCCCUGCGGGCACAACGCCGUCCCCCAAAUACAGUGGCGGUCCCGCCGCAGCUUCCAUUGCGUAGUAGCUAACACCUCGCAACUGGAGAGCGGCGCGGCCACGCCGUAAAACACCCAACUUCUGAAUGUUGACCUGGAAUCAGGUAGGAAUACCCGCUGAACUUAAGC